Chinchilla lanigera (long-tailed chinchilla) is the source of this 2022-nucleotide long non-coding RNA. RefSeq lists it as uncharacterized. The transcript is spliced from 3 exons. NCBI's taxonomy places the organism in Eukaryota, Metazoa, Chordata, Mammalia, Rodentia, Chinchillidae. The record is from RefSeq and is a predicted model, not a curated record.
GAGUCUGGAAGGACAGUUGCAUUUCUCCCUGCUUAGUACUGAGGAUGGAGUGCAGGGCCUUGGAAUGUGCUAGGCAAAUGCUCAACCACACAGCUGCUCCCCUGCCCCGUUCUACCAUCCAGGCUCGAGACUGGCCGCCGCGUAGGGAGCCCUGUGAGAGGAGGGCAGGGCGGGGGUCACCUGGGGUCUGCCCCGGUCUUCCUCGAAGAUGCCACACCGCCACCGCCUUCCCUUAAGUCCGAGCUAGAGCAGACUUGGUGCCAUUUCAGAAAAAUUUAGACCUUGAAAUUCUCUCGCCUCUCUCCCCAAGCACGGAGCAGGAUGUCAGGACGACGGCUGACAGAGUAGCACACCUGACUUCCCUUGCGGGGGACCCCUCCCUUCCCUGUCACACGUGGGCCAGGCAGCUGUGAGCUGGUGCUGCAGAGCCGGCUUUCAGUCUCUGCUGUCUGGGGAGACCAAGCUUGCGGGUGGUGGCGGUGCGUGCUGGUCCCGUUAGCACACCGCCACGGCCACGUCUGUCUUCCUCCUUAGGGCGGCUUCCAGUCGCCCGCCAGCCGCCCCGCCUCCCGUGGGUGUUCCAUUUCUUUACUGUGCUGCUGUCACGUAGGGUCUUAGAGCACUGCUCCUGCACCUCCUGUCUGCACCGGGCUUCUCGGAGGGCCGGCUCCCAUCAGGGUUCCCCUCUGCUCUGUGGAGAGGCUGUAGCAGGGGCUGCAAAGAGGCUGCAGACGGCGCUUCCAAAGUUAUUACCUCUCGGUGCCUUUGGUCAGAAGUUCCCGGAGUAGGAGUUGGCCCUGCUCCCUGUCUGUUUUUCUUCCCUUGGAGAGAGUGCUUUCUGUUGCACCACAUGUGCAGCCCCAUGACCUCGGCCUCAGGAUGUGGUGGUCAGGUACGCGUGACCUCGGCCUCAGGGUGUGAGAAGCAGGACACCCUCUCUUACUCCAAAGGCCACCAGGAUGGCCCCUGCUACCACACAGAGCAGUGGUCUCUCCAAGCGUGAGGGUCCUUUGAGGUGGCGAGAUAUUUCUAGAAGGCUCAGUUACAGCCAUGGAAGGGCCUCACAGAGGGCGCUGGUCGUGUGCUGCAGACAGGCUGGGUCCCUGGGGAGGCAGGCGCAGGCAUCCCCUGGCGGGAGGACUUCGGCUGAGUGGGAGCUGCAGCACCGCGAACCUCGGCGAGGGCAGGCUUGCUUCCGCUUCCAGAGGAUUUCCGUGCUCCUUGUCAGCUCGGCCACCCUCGGAAAAGCACUCAUACUUGCAUGCAUCUGUGUGAAACGUGUUGCCACAGUGAGCCUUUGACCGGUGACCCAUCCUUCCCAAGUCUGGAGAGGAGUGGGGGAACCGGUAAUUUUCCAGUAAUUUUCAAGACAUUUGAGAAACGAGUUUAUCUGACAUGUGUCUGUGACAUCUGAAGUGUCACAGUUUCUGGAAGCUGUGUGUCGUGUAGAAGGCUGAGCAGCGGCUGGAGGCUGGUCCAAGAGAGCGGGUGGCGAGCCCCUCGGGGCCUCUGAGGACUGCACUGUGACGCUCAUGGGCUCCGUCAUGCUGCUAGCCCAGGCCCCUUGGGCCCCGCUGUCCCGAAGAGCCUGCAGUUGUCAACUUGUGCGUGACACAUGGCACCAGGUAUUCCUGAAGGAAAGGCCUGGGCGUGUGUGGACUCUUCACAUCAAAGGAGGGCUGAUUUAAUCUCCAGCUUCGCAGCUUAGCUACAGGAUUUCCAAGGCGAGAAUUCAACAAGUUGGAGUGGAUGGCCGUGCCAUGACAUCAGAAAACUAUUGACCAGAGAGUGGUCUUUGGCUGGACAAGUAAAAUUGAUCAGACCCACGAAGAGAAAAAGAUUCUGAGAGAUUCCUUCGUGGCUCUGGGAUUUGAGUUUGCUCUUCUGUCCUGUUUGCCUGCCUGUCUGUCCAUCUGUCCAUCCAUCCAUCCAUCCCUCUAUCCCUCUGUCUGUCUGUCUCUUCUCCCCACUGUGCCCUCCCCCAUGCAUUACGUGUUAGUGGAGGACAUUCUCCUUGUUAGU